RNAcentral lists this ribosomal RNA (462 nucleotides) under uncultured bacterium. RNAcentral describes it as "bacterial SSU rRNA". It matches the Rfam family "Bacterial small subunit ribosomal RNA", at positions 355 to 825 of the family's 1533-position model. The record is from RNAcentral.
UAAGGAAUAUUGCGCAAUGGGCGACAGCCUGACGCAGCGACGCCGCGUGGGGGAUGAAGGUCUUCGGAUUGUAAACCCCUUUCGGCAGGGAAGAUGGAACGGGUAACCGUUCGGACGGUACCUGCAGAAGCAGCCACGGCUAACUUCGUGCCAGCAGCCGCGGUAAUACGAAGGUGGCAAGCGUUGUUCGGAUUUACUGGGCGUACAGGGAGCGUAGGCGGUUGGGUAAGCCCUCCGUGAAAUCUCCAGGCUUAACCUGGAACAGUCGGAGGGGACUGCCGGGCUAGAGGACGGGAGAGGAGCGCGGAAUUCCCGGUGUAGCGGUGAAAUGCGUAGAGAUCGGGAGGAAGGCCGGUGGCGAAGGCGGCGCUCUGGAACGUUUCUGACGCUGAGGCUCGAAAGCGUGGGGAGCAAACAGGAUUAGAUACCCCGGUAGUCCCUGAGCGGGCUGGCAAGGCGCAU